This 540-nucleotide long non-coding RNA is filed under the name Homo sapiens (human). RNAcentral describes it as "HSALNT0276139". Lineage: Eukaryota; Metazoa; Chordata; Mammalia; Primates; Hominidae. The record is from RNAcentral.
AGAAGAGCAAGCACUGAAAAGAGCAGUUUAACUACCUCGGACAGUAAGCAACAAGCCUGCAGUCCCCAGAUAAUCGGCCCAGAGGGAGCUGAAAGGAUGGAGUUGGAAAGGGGAACCACAGAGCCCGGGAAGAAGGAGCGACCAGGAUGGAGCGCAAACGAGUGACAGGCAAGGAGCCCAAAGGGACCACACCAAUGCAACAGAGACUGGAGCCAGGAGGCCGGCCCCGCAUCGCCCGCUCCGCUGUGUCACCCGCUCCGGGACAGCGACGGCUCAGCUCCCGAUUCUCCCGGACGCAGGGGGUCGCUGGCGGCCGCAGGGGGCGGCGGCGUCGGGGACCGGCGCGGGCCGGGGCAGGUGGUACGUGGGUUCGGGCAGGACGGUCCUCUUGCAGGCGUGGUCGGCCGGGGUCGCCUUGCUCUUCUCCAUGGCCAUCAGGUAACUGACAUCGGCCACCACGGCCUCCAGGUCCACCAUGUUGGCGAGCUUUGGCAGCGGCGGUGGCGGUUACUCGGGACCCGGAUGGGACGCGCGCCCGCG